Molecule: non-coding RNA, 683 nt
Filed under: Stegodyphus mimosarum
Lineage: Eukaryota; Metazoa; Arthropoda; Arachnida; Araneae; Eresidae
Description: eukaryotic small subunit ribosomal RNA
Rfam family: Eukaryotic small subunit ribosomal RNA
Source: Rfam by way of RNAcentral
UACCUGGUUGAUCCUGCCAGUAGUCAUAUGCUUGUCUCAAAGAUUAAGCCCUACAUGUCUAAGUACAUGCCGUAUUAAGGCGAAACCGCGAAUGGCGCAUUAAAUCAGUUAUGGUUCCUUGGGUCGUAUCCGAGCAGUAACUCGGAUAACUGUGGCAAUUCCAGAGCUCAUACAUGCAGCAGAGAUCCGACCCUCUGGGGACGAGCGCUUUUAUUAGGCCAAAACCAAUCGGGCCUAGUGUCCAUAUUAUGUGGUGACUCUGUAUAACUUUGGGUUGAUUGCACGGGCUCGUCCCGGCGACUUAUCUUUCAAAUUGUCUGCCUUAUCAACUGUCGAUGGUAGGUAACACGUUUACCAUGGUCGUAACGGGUGACGGGGAAUCAGGGUUCGAUUCUGGAGAUGGAACCUAAGAAACAGCUACCACAUUUAAGGAAGGCAGCAGGGGCGCAAAUUACCCCCUCCCAGGACGGGGAGGUAGUGACGAAAAUAACAAUAAGGGACUCUUUUAGACCCCGUAAUUGGAAUGAGUACACUCUAAAUCCUUUAACUAGGAAUCAAUUGGAGGGCAAGUCUGGUGCCAGCAGCCGCGAUAAUUCCAGCUCCAAUAGUGUAUAUUAAAGUUGUUGCGGUUUUAUAUAAGCGUUCCACGUGUGAAUGAAAUCGCACUACACGGCUGAGCCUUU